Molecule: ribosomal RNA, 43 nt
Filed under: Stauroderus scalaris
Lineage: Eukaryota; Metazoa; Arthropoda; Insecta; Orthoptera; Acrididae
Description: partial 28S ribosomal RNA
Source: RNAcentral
CGACCUCAGAGCAGACGAGACUACCCGCUGAAUUUAAGCAUAU